GGACCUGUGGCCCAAUGGCAAGGCGUCUGACUACGAAUCAGAAGAUUGCAGGUUCGAUCCCUGCCAGGUUCA
This is a non-coding RNA of Emydomyces testavorans, 72 nucleotides long. Lineage: Eukaryota; Fungi; Ascomycota; Eurotiomycetes; Onygenales; Nannizziopsiaceae. The record is from the annotation of a GenBank genome assembly.